RNAcentral lists this ribosomal RNA (253 nucleotides) under uncultured bacterium. Its description in RNAcentral is "partial 16S ribosomal RNA". It matches the Rfam family "Bacterial small subunit ribosomal RNA", at positions 524 to 776 of the family's 1533-position model. The record is from RNAcentral.
UACGGAGGGUGCGAGCGUUGUCCGGAAUCACUGGGCGUAAAGGGCGCGUAGGCGGCUGGAGGAGUCCGUGGUGAAAGCUCGUGGCUCAACUGCGAGUCGGCCAAGGAUACUCUUCAGCUUGAGCACUGUAGAGGCAGAUGGAAUUCCGGGUGUAGCGGUGGAAUGCGUAGAGAUUAGGAAGAACACCAGUGGCGAAGGCGACUUACUGGACUGUAACUGACGCUGAGGCAUGAAAGCGUGGGGAGCAAACAGG